This 229-nucleotide ribosomal RNA is filed under the name uncultured bacterium. RNAcentral describes it as "partial 16S ribosomal RNA". It matches the Rfam family "Bacterial small subunit ribosomal RNA", at positions 568 to 796 of the family's 1533-position model. The record is from RNAcentral.
UCCGUAGGCGGGCAAUUAAGUCAGAAGUGAAAUCCCACAGCUCAACUGUGGAACUGCCUUUGAUACUGGUUGUCUUGAGUUAUAGUGAAGUAGAUAGAAUAUGUAGUGUAGCGGUGAAAUGCAUAGAUAUUACAUAGAAUACCGAUUGCGAAGGCAGUCUACUAACUGUAUACUGACGCUAAUGGACGAAAGCGUGGGGAGCGAACAGGAUUAGAUACCCUGGUAGUCC